AUUUUCCUCCAGAACUCUGCCCCUUCUCUCUGUUUCUGCCUCCUAGCAUUUUUCCUUGGAGGUUGGGGAGAAAUUUGUUUUCCUAAAUGUUGGAGCAGGUGGUGUUACUUAAGACACAACCUAAAAUUUUUCCUACAUAGUCUUUAUUAUGGCUUGAAUUGUGCCCCGCAAAUAGAUGUGUUAAAAUCCUGAUCUCCUGGACCUCAGAACGUGGCCUCAUUUGUAAAUGGGCCACUGCAGAUGAAAUCAAGUUUCAUGGAAUGUCACACUCUGGAUACCUCGGAUGUAAUGAAUCGCCUAUGGAGAACACUCAAGUCGUUUCCAGUUUCUAACUAGAGGAAACACUGUAGCAGGACGCCUCCCCUUCAGUCAUCUUUGAGCUCCUAGGUAGUGUAGCAUAGUCACAGCAUCAUGAAGACAAAGACCUGGACAUCUUUGGGAGCCAUUAUUCUGCCAACCAUGGACUCUGAGCUCUGAAGGCAGAAAGAACAUCUUAUUCCUGCUGGAUUUCAGUCUCCAGGACAUGCCCUGCUCUUAGCAUGGUACCAUGACCAAGAUGCUCCUCAAUCGUGACUGGUGACAGUGUGGAGUGGCACGUUAUAGCCCUGGCACUGAGACG
Heterocephalus glaber (naked mole-rat) is the source of this 619-nucleotide long non-coding RNA. The record is from Ensembl. Lineage: Eukaryota; Metazoa; Chordata; Mammalia; Rodentia; Bathyergidae.